AAUAUAUCCGGAAGCAACUGUCAUGGCUGCUGUCAGUGAGGGCCCGUAAUGGAGAUCGAGUCAAGGGUUGCCCAGGGACACUUAAGAGCCUUCGGCUUCAAGGAGGCCUCUCAAAGGACAAAGGAUGAGACUGCCUGGCGGCAGAGUGCCCCCCACAAUCGUAGGAACUGUGUCGCCGCGCUUCCCGUUAACUUGCCGCUAAGUUUUUCUAGAAAAGUCGCCCUUCUUGCCAGGGGUGUCCUAUAGACUUUGUCAUGGAGUGAAACAGAAACAAAUGAGGUAAAGCAAGGUGGCUGGAUAGAAUCCUCCAGCAAUCAUCUGCACUGCAGGAACAACAAAUUGAACAACUAUCCACAUAAGAAGCACCUUCACAAGAACCAAAAAUCAGCAGCUGGCUUGGCUUUUUCAGAGGAAACAGAGACUCUCAGACAUGAAUACUGUGACACUGACCACCAGGCCAACUUAACAUCAGCAGAUAUCCUGUCUCAGAUGAAGAGAAUGGCCUGUCCAGAAGACAGCCAAAUACAUCCUUCAAACAGACUUCACUGCAGGAGACAGAGUGGAUUCAUCCUGUAUUCUCCAUGUAGACUUCCAUCUUCAUGAGUACUCCAAGAAGAUGGUUCAGUUGACUAUUGCAAAGUCUCAGGUAUGUCUUUAUCAGCAGCAUGAAAAUGGACUAAUAGUACCAGUAGAGUGGGGCAUUGCUGAAAAGAUACCCGAAAAUGUGGAAGCAACUUUGGAACUGGGUGUUGAAAUAAUCUGGAGGGCUCAGAAGAAGAUAGGAAAAUGUAGGAAAGUUUGGAACCUCCUAGAGACUGUGAAUGGCAUUGACAAAAAUACUGAUAGUGAUAUGAACAAUAAGGUCCAGGCUGAGGUGGUCUCAGAUGGAGAUGAAGACCUUGUUGGGAACUGAAGUAAAGGUGACCCUUGUUAUGUUUUAGCAAGGAGACUGGCAGCAUUUCACCCUUGCCCUAGAGAUUUGUGGAACUUAGAGCUUGAGAGAGAUGACUUAGGGUAUCUGGUGGAAUAAAUUUCUAAGCAGCAAAGCAUUC
Molecule: long non-coding RNA, 1052 nt
Filed under: Homo sapiens (human)
Lineage: Eukaryota; Metazoa; Chordata; Mammalia; Primates; Hominidae
Description: non-protein coding ENTPD1-AS1:26
Source: RNAcentral